This 478-nucleotide ribosomal RNA is filed under the name uncultured bacterium. RNAcentral describes it as "partial 16S ribosomal RNA". It matches the Rfam family "Bacterial small subunit ribosomal RNA", at positions 28 to 507 of the family's 1533-position model. The record is from RNAcentral.
GAUGAACGCUAGCGGCAGGCCUAACACAUGCAAGUCGAGCGAGAAGCCCUUUCGGGUUCAGUAUCCGGCGCACUGGUGAGUAACGCGGUUGCAACCUACUUUUCACAUGUUUAUACCUCGAAGAAAUCUUGAUUAAUACCCCAUAAUAUUCUUGUAUGGCAUCAUUGGAUAAUUAAGACUGCGUAGGUGAAUGAUGGACAUGCGUCCUAUGAGCUAGUUGGAGUGGUAACCGCACACUAAGGCUACGAUAGCUAGGGGGACUGGCAGGGAGGUCCCCCACAAUGGUACUGAGACACGGACCAGACUCCUAAGGGAGGAAGCAGUGAGGAGUAAUGGUGAAUGGUAGGAAGACUGAACCAGCCAUGCCGCGUGAAGGAAGAAUGCCUUAUGGGUUGUAAACUUCUUUUAUAUGGGAAGAAUAAGGUGUAGGUGUACGUGGUUGACGGUAACCUAUGAAUAAGGAACGGCUAACUCCGUG